CUUUCGGGGUACACGAGCGGCGAACGGGUGAGUAACACGUGGGUGAUCUGCCCUGCACUUCGGGAUAAGCCUGGGAAACUGGGUCUAAUACCGGAUAUGACCUCCUAUCGCAUGGUGGGUGGUGGAAAGAUUUAUCGGUGCAGGAUGGGCCCGCGGCCUAUCAGCUUGUUGGUGGGGUAAUGGCCUACCAAGGCGACGACGGGUAGCCGACCUGAGAGGGUGACCGGCCACACUGGGACUGAGACACGGCCCAGACUCCUACGGGAGGCAGCAGUGGGGAAUAUUGCACAAUGGGCGAAAGCCUGAUGCAGCGACGCCGCGUGAGGGAUGACGGCCUUCGGGUUGUAAACCUCUUUCAGCAGGGACGAAGCGCAAGUGACGGUACCUGCAGAAGAAGCACCGGCUAACUACGUGCCAGCAGCCGCGGUAAUACGGAGG
Molecule: ribosomal RNA, 438 nt
Filed under: bacterium ANr52B
Lineage: Bacteria
Description: bacterial SSU rRNA
Rfam family: Bacterial small subunit ribosomal RNA
Source: RNAcentral